This 465-nucleotide ribosomal RNA is filed under the name uncultured Klebsiella sp. RNAcentral describes it as "bacterial SSU rRNA". It matches the Rfam family "Bacterial small subunit ribosomal RNA", at positions 338 to 795 of the family's 1533-position model. The record is from RNAcentral. Lineage: Bacteria; Pseudomonadati; Pseudomonadota; Gammaproteobacteria; Enterobacterales; Enterobacteriaceae.
CCUACGGGAGGCAGCAGUGGGGAAUAUUGCACAAUGGGCGCAAGCCUGAUGCAGCCCUGCCGCGUGUGUGAAGAAGGCCUUCGGGUUGUAAAGCACUUUCAGCGGGGAGGAAGGCGUUAAGGUUAAUAACCUUGGCGAUUGACGUUACCCGCAGAAGAAGCACCGGCUAACUCCGUGCCAGCAGCCGCGGUAAUACGGAGGGUGCAAGCGUUAAUCGGAAUUACUGGGCGUAAAGCGCACGCAGGCGGUCUGUCAAGUCGGAUGUGAAAUCCCCGGGCUCAACCUGGGAACUGCAUUCGAAACUGGCAGGCUAGAGUCUUGUAGAGGGGGGUAGAAUUCCAGGUGUAGCGGUGAAAUGCGUAGAGAUCUGGAGGAAUACCGGUGGCGAAGGCGGCCCCCUGGACAAAGACUGACGCUCAGGUGCGAAAGCGUGGGGAGCAAACAGGAUUAGAUACCCGGGUAGUC